AAAAGUAAACUAGCGGUUUCUUAGAAUUAGACAUUACACGAAAAAAUUAUGAGAGUCUUACAUUAAUUUUCUACAACUGGAGCAAUGGUUGAACACCACCCUUAAGAGUCUAAACAACAUUUCAAUUCGUCCUAGAAUUGUUAUACUAAUUUCCGUUUUAGCAAUCUAAGUUCUCCUAGCACUAACAUGCAAAUUAUCGGCUAGUCAAAACCCAUUAUCAAUUAAUGUUUCCUAACCAGAAUUGCCCACCACUUCGCAUAAAUUCAGUUAUACAUUUCCAUGCUAAAAAUUACCUAAAAUCACUCUCAGAUAUUAUAAAUGCUAUACACAGUUUACAUUUGUGAGCGUUGUCAUGAAUCUUGUAACCAAUGUCAUGUUCGCUUGCGAUAAGAUUGCAAAUUGCAAUUGUAAGACUUAAUCUAAUUAAUUAAGAAUUACUUUUCAUCCACUACUGUUGACGUCAAUUGACUUCUCUUUUCAUAACAUUUCUUUGUUUUUUGCAU
Molecule: non-coding RNA, 503 nt
Organism: Schizosaccharomyces pombe (fission yeast)
Lineage: Eukaryota; Fungi; Ascomycota; Schizosaccharomycetes; Schizosaccharomycetales; Schizosaccharomycetaceae
Source: the annotation of a GenBank genome assembly